Long non-coding RNA from Rattus norvegicus (Norway rat), 619 nucleotides. RefSeq lists it as uncharacterized. The record is from RefSeq and is a predicted model, not a curated record. Lineage: Eukaryota; Metazoa; Chordata; Mammalia; Rodentia; Muridae.
CCAUUCCGUCACAGCCACUCGAGGUUAACUACAUCGUAAAUCUGACAGUGAUGGUCCCCAAGGCUGGCCUCAAAUGAGACGAGUGCUUUUAAGUGCCUUUUCUGGAUUUGGGAAGAGGGAAGAGCGGACAGAGGCAUCAUAAGGACUCCCAGGAUAGACAGCCUGUGUCUGCUAGCUGUAUGGAGUCAGCACCUGACGGAACCACAUGAUGUUGCUCGAGGAUCCAAACGAUCUGUGAGAAGCAGGGUUUUCUCUGAACUUCGAUCCCAGAAUUCCUUGCUGCAGCCUCUCUCAUCGAGAAGAAGAGACAGCUAGGCCUAGCGGCAGAUGCUGGCAGGCUCCGACUCUGAGCUUCUGAGGCCGACACGGACAAGCACACGUGUGAAAGCGCAGAUGUACACAGAGGGUGUGACACCAUAUUCUUACUCCGCUAGGGAAGUUCUUUUCUCCAUCCUUCCAAGUGCCCCUUGGCAUUUGGAAGAAAGGUAAGCACAGCCCAUGAAUCCUCUCAAACAGUCACUCCAGCCACUCUCCUUUCUCCUCAGAAGGAGCCGCCAGGGAUGAGUGCCCGCAGGAAAACAGCGCUGGUCUGAGGAGACCCCUCUGCACUUACCUCCAG